UAAAACAACAGAAAUGUUAUAGUUUAAAAUAAGGUUAUCAAACAACACAAAAGUCUCAUUCAUCUAAUUCUCUAAGGAGGAAAUCAUCUCCAAGAUCUUCAUGAUCAUCUACAUCUUCAUCAAUUAGCCAAUCUGCAGUAAAAACCCUAAUUUUAAACCCUAAUUAAACAAAAACCCCAUCUGUCCAGAGCAGUAAAAACCCUAAUUUUAAAAACCCUAAUCCAAUUUGUCCUCACCGCAACAGCAAGACUUUCCUACGAAUUGCUUCGCGAACAGCACAAUGGGAAGAGGAUAGCG
This 297-nucleotide long non-coding RNA is filed under the name Phaseolus vulgaris (common bean). Its description in RNAcentral is "long non-coding RNA (PVUL_LNC001459)". The record is from RNAcentral. Lineage: Eukaryota; Viridiplantae; Streptophyta; Magnoliopsida; Fabales; Fabaceae.